RNAcentral lists this ribosomal RNA (1332 nucleotides) under Triticum aestivum (bread wheat). Its description in RNAcentral is "partial small subunit ribosomal RNA". The record is from RNAcentral. Lineage: Eukaryota; Viridiplantae; Streptophyta; Magnoliopsida; Poales; Poaceae.
AUGCACCACCGCGACCCCGAUCCACUCCGGCGAGCUCCCGAGGCCACUGGCAUGCCCGCGGACAGCUGCCACUCCCGUAGCAUGUCGUGGUUCGUCAAGUCCUGCAUCCCUGCCGACCCCGACCGCCACAUCUCCGUCCCCGUCCCCGUCCCAGUCCCCAUCCCCGCUCCUGCCGCUGCUUCCUCCACCACCAGCCUCUGCUUCUCCGCCCAACCACCACCGCCCAUCUCCGCGCUGCCCGACGACCUCAUCCUCGAGUGCCUUGUCCGCGUGCCCAGGGUCUCCCUCCCGCCGCUCCCCGCCGUCUGCCGCCGCUUCGCCGACCUCCUCGCGUCCCACGCCUUCCUCCAGCUCCGCCGCGCGCGCGGUCAGCUCCAGCCCUCCCUGCUCGCCGUCUCCGUCCCCGACCACGGCGGCGCCUUUGCCCAGGCCCUGCUCCAGUUCCGGCCGGAGCAGCAGCAGCUCCAGGUCACCGCGCUGCCGCUGCCGCUGGCCCUGCUGCAUUGCGGCCGCUCCGUGUUCGCGCACGCGCGCGCCGUCGCGCUGGGCCGCGAGAUCUUCCUCGUCGGCCGCGGCGCCACGCUGCGGGUGGACGCGCUCACGGGUGCCGCGCGCGCGUGUGCACCCACGCUGUUCCCGCGGAAGAAGUUCGCGGCCGCCGCCGUGGGAGGGCGGAUCUACGUCGCCGGCGGGUCCGCGCGGACCGCGGCGGUCGAGGAGUACGACCCGGUGGCAGACGCGUGGCGCGUGGUGUCCGAGGCGCCGCGGAGGAGGUACGGGUGCGCCGGGGCCGGGGCCGGCGGGGUGUUCUACGUGGCCGGCGGGGUCGCGGUGUCCGGCGACGGAGCGCGGGCGCUCGGGGCGCACGUGUGCGCCGGGUCGGUGGACGCGCUGCACGUCGCGUCCGGCACCUGGGCGCGCCCGCGGGCGCUGCCCGGCGGCGGCUGCGUCGUGGGCGCCUGCGGCGUCGGCGACCAUCUCUACGUCGUGGCCAGCCACGCGGUGGAGCUUUCCUUCUGGAGGUGGCACGGUGGUGCCGGCCGAGGCAGCGAUCUCAGAGCUGGUGGCGGGUGGGUGGCGCUCGAGGCCCCGCCCAUGCCGAGGGGGUCGGUGGGGCUGGGCAUGGCGGUGCGGGUGACGAUGGCUGGCAUCGGGCGUGAGACAGUGACAGCCGUAAUGAGCGCGGCGGCAGUCCGGGGCCACAAUGCGGCGGGCGCCGGCCCGUUCGAAGGGAUGGUGCUGGCGUACGACAUCGCCGGCGGCAAGUGGAACCGCGCGCCGGACCUGCCACCCGGGUUCCGGCGAGCCGCCUGUGCGGGCGUCGAGUGCUGA